CUUCUUUGAACAUGUCUGGUAGAAUUCAGCUGUGAUCCAUCCAGUCCUGGGCUUCUUUUGACUAUGGAAAUGAUGUUAGACAAAAAGCAAAUUCAACUUCAAAGUGGGUCUUAAAACAGCCAAGACAACUUGCAACAUCAACAACGCAUUUGUUCCACUGAGAAUGAACGUACAGUGCAGUGGUGGUUCAAGAAGUUUUGCAAGGGAGACAAGAGCCUUGAAGACAAGCAGCAUAGUGGCUGGCCAUGAGAAGUUGACGAUGACCAACUGAGAACAAUCAUCAAAGCUGAUCCCCUUAAAACUACACAAGAAGUUGCCAAAGAACUCAUCAUUGGCCAUUUGAAGCAAAUUGGAAAGGUGAAAAAUCACAAUAAGUGGGUGCCUAAUGAGCUGAGUGAAAAUUUUAAAAAAUCAUCAUUUUGAGUGUCAUCUUCUCUUAUUCUAUCCAACAACAAUGACCCAUUUCUCCGUUGGAUGAUGACAUGCGAUGAAAAAUGGAUUUUAUAUGACAAGCGGCAAUGACCAGCUCAGUGGCUGGAUCAAGAAGAAGUUUCAAAGCACUUCCCAAAGCCAAACUUGCACCAAGAAAAGGUCAUGAUCACUGUUUGGGGGUCUUCUGCCAGUCUGAUCCACUACAGCUUUCUGUAGUGGAUCAGGAGGCUGAAGGAGGAGAAUCACUUGAACCCAGGAGGUGGAGGUUGCAGUGAGCUGAGAUCGCACCAUUGGACUCCAUCCUUGGCAAAAAGAGCGAAACACCAUUAAAAAAAAAAUAGGAUGUAUUAUUCUUAUUAUUCUCCUAGUACCUUCUCUCCUUUGCUCAUCUUAAUUUCCUACUCCCUAUGCCAAACAAUGUUACCAACGGCAACAUAUUAGGUGAGUGCAAAAGUAAUAACUGUUUUUGCAUUCGUGGAAUCGUCAUUUGAUAUUGAAAUACAUUUUUGUAUUUCAUUGCCAGUUGUCAUCUAAAAUCCAUUUUUCAUCGCACAUCAUCAUCCAAUGGAGAAAUGGGUCGUUGUUGUUGGAUAGAAUAAGAGAAGAUGACACUCAAAAUGAUGGUUUCCCGGUGAAACCAUUACAUCUGAGAAGUAUGCUCAGAAAAUCGAUGAGAUGCAUCAAAAAUUGCAAUGCCUGCAGCCAGCGUUGGUCAACAAAAAGGGCCUAAUUCUCCACAUCAAUGCCCGACCACAUGUCGUAUAACCAAUGUUUCAAAAGUUGAAUGAAUUGGGCUAUGAAGUUUUGCCUCAUCCACCACAUUCACCUGACCUCUUGCCAAUCAACUACCACUUCUUCAAGCAUCUUGACAACUUUUUGCAGGGAAAGCACUUCCAUGACUAGCAGGAUCCAGAAAAUGCUUUCCAGGAGUUCAUCGAAUCCCAAAGCAUAAACUUUUAUACUACAGGAAUAAACAAACUUAUUUCUCGUUGGCAAACAUGUGUUGAUUGCAGUGGUUCCUAUUUUGAUUAACAAAGAUAUGUUUGAGCCUAGUUAUAAUGAUUUAAAAUUCAUAGUCCAAAACUGCAAUUACUUCUGUGCCAACAUAAUAAUAGCCAAAGCCAGAUUUAAGCCUCUUUCCUGAAACCCAGCCAAGAACUAGCCUCAUCACUUUGUAUUUUCUAGCUAGUGUCUCGAGGCUUCACAUUCAGAUGAUCCAGUGUGUGAAGUGGCAGGGUGCCAUUUUAAGCGAGAAUCUUCUUAUUCUGCCAGUGCCAUAAAAUUGCCUAUGAGAAACUGGGAAUGGAUACCCAACCUCAUCAACUAUGCAUUAAAGGAAUAAAGACAAUGAUGCAAGUUUAGAUGCCACCUCCACAAGUAAGGACGCAUCAUUCCUGAGUCCUAUGAUAUCUACAACAAGUAAAUUUUUUGUUGUUGUUAAGAGUGGUCGUCUCUUAAAAGUGACUGGUGCUUAGGGAAUUAGAAUUCACCUGUGAUAGAGGAUCUUAAAGAUGUGUGGAUGCCUAGAGCUAAGAGCACACAUAGGAGAAAGGCAGGAAACUGUAAUACAAAAGGGUGAUAGAUUUCGGAGUGGCAUUUAAGACUGAUCAACAAGAUUGAAUUGUAUAAUAAAGGCAAUGGGAAACCACUGAAGAGUUUUAUGGAGAGAAAUGAUAUGCUCAAUUUUGCUUUUAAAAAAAUCGCUCUCAGAACAACAUGGGUAGUGGGUGGGAAGAGAGUAAGAGUGAAUUUAAAAAACAAAGAAAAUUUAAUGAGUGUUUGCAAUAGUCCAGAUGAUAAAUGAUGACAGUGGACUAGAUUAAGGUUCUAACAGUGGAGAUAAUAAGGAUAUUUAUGGCAUAUUUGAGAUACAAUCCAGAACAUUUGGAAUUGAUUGAAUAUGGAUGUAGGGAAGAAAGUAAUGACCAAGAUUAACCCAAAAUUUCAAAUUUGCAUAACUUGGUGGAAAGUGACAUUAUGUUCUGAUGGUUCAAAAGGUAAGGAAUUUAAUUUUAGACAUUUGACCUUUAAAGGAAAAUGCUACUACCAAGUAGACUUAUUAACCUGGAACUCAGCAGAGAUUGAAUUGUAUCUAGAUAUGUAAAAGAUGUUAACAUAGAAAGCUCAAAAUAGUGAUUGUAUCUUUAAGAAUAGUACGUAUAGGCCUGGCACGGUGGCUCAUGCCUGUAAUCCCAGCACUUUGGGAGGCUGAGGUGGGUGGAUCACAAGGUCAGAAGAUCAAGAGCAUCCUGGCUAUCACGGUGAAUCCCGUCUCUACUAAAAAUACAAAAAAUUAGGCAGGCAUAGUUGCAGGAGCCUGUAGUCCCAGCUACUCAGGAGGCUGAGGCAGGAGAAUGGUGUGAACCUGGGAGGCGGAGCUUGCAGUGAGCCGAGAUCAACGUGCCACCGCACUCCAGCCUGGGCAACGGAGCGAGACUCUGUCUCAAAAAAAAAAAAAAAAAAAAAGAUUAGGGUGUAUAGAGUAAAACAGAGGAAAACAACAUAAGAAUAGAAUUCCAUGCAGCAGCAACAUUCCUAUGGCAGGUUGAUCUAGGACCGCUCCCUAUCCUGACAUUAGGUACAGCUAAAUAAGUAGGAGCACACAGAGUCGAAGAAGGACAGCCAGGCAGGCAAAAGUAAGAGAAAAGUGUGUGGAGUCACGGAAUCAAAAGGAGAGGCAUGCAUCCUGGCAAAGAAAGCAGUGAAUAAUGAGAGCUCAUUCAGAAAAAAGCACAAGUGUCCUUUUGAUUAUGGAUGGAGUGGCAUUUGGUGACUUCAGUGAGAACAAUUCCAACAGAAUGGUGGUACUAAAAUCUAAAUUGCAUUGGGUUGAAGAAUAAGUAUGAAAUAAGGACAUAGAGAUGCCAGUUUAGGUGAUGCAUUUGAGAAUAUUAAUAUUUAAGGUAAGGAGAGGAAGGGUAAUAGCUAUAGGAAGAUGGAUGGUUGUGUUUCAAAUGAGUGAGACUUGAGUGGGUUCAAAUUUUGGUAGAAUGUGUCUAUAAAGGGAAAAAUGUUGAACAUAUUGAGGAGAGGAUGCCAAAUCAACACAAUAAGGAUCCCUGAGAAGGCAGGAGAAGUUGCCCUUAUGAAAAAGGAGAUAAACCUUGUUAUUUUAACAGUAGGAAAGGAGGAAAGGCUGGGAAAGCAGAUUUGUAAUUUUAGUGACAGAUACUUGAAGAAUUUUUAUCAUCUUCAAGAGCUUCUAAUUUUCUUUAAUGUAGAAAAAUAGCAUCUGCUAAGUGUGAUGAAAUAAGAUGACAAAGAUUUAAAAUUUGUGAAGAAUCAAAAGAGUCUGAAAUCAUUGUUAUGAAGAAAGAAUGGAGCAUGGAAACCUAAACGUGUCAGGCAGAGUCGAAUUUUCUGAUUCUAGUCUUUAAGCAUUUUCCACUGUGUCCCCCACCCCGGAGGCCUCUUGCAGAGCCAUAAUGAAAACCAUGCCAUCCAAACUAAGAGAGAACAGCCCUUUUAUUUGUAAAGCAAAAUAUUCUAGUCCUUAUAUUUGAUCACUCUCCAGCCUUAAGCUUCUUCACUUAUUCUCUUACUCUCCUUUCAAAUAAGUCCGUGGCUCUGUUUUCUGUUGUGUUAAUCAUACCAUGAACACAUUCAUGUAAGCGAGUGAAUUAUACUCUGGCAAAAUGACCUGGAAUCAACAUAUGCCAUCAUUGUAAACAUCCUGGAUUGGCUUUCCAGUGGCUUUGACCCCUCCCCUACUCAUCACCUCAUUCUCAUUUUAUGUCUCCCUGUACCCACAAAAUAAGACAGGCUCAUACCUGAUUGUUUGACAGUGACUUUGAUGGGCUGAGGAGGCACUUGAAUCUGAUGUCAACUAUUUUAGCAGUUGAAUCUGAUCUCAACUAUUAACCUCAUGACACAUGGAGUCAAGUUGCUGUUUAUUACAGGAUAAGGAAGCAGUUGGUAUUAACAACACAGGUGAUGCCGUAAGGUCACGAACCAUCAGACACUGCUAGUAUUAGGUAGGACUUUGGAAGAUCUGCUAUGGGAAAACUCAAAGGACAUUCCUGAGCUAGGGAGAAGGAAGUUGAACUAAGCUAUGUCACAAGUCUCUUUUUCAAUUCAAGGAUUAUAGCAUCAGAAGGGGUAUUUAAAAUAAAUGCAAAACUGUUGUACUUAAGGGAACUAAAGUAUUCACAAAUGUUAACGUUCUCAGAAGCAACAGGGUGAAGAGGAAAGAGCAUGGUCAGGAAAUGGGGCAAAUCCCAGCUCAUGUGUUUGCCAGCUGAAUAACCCUAAACAGGUCACCUAACAUUUCUGGCACUAUUUUCUAAUCUAUAAAACGAAGAUAAUAUUGUCUUUGAUUGUUGUUCUAAGGCUGCGUUGGGCAACAUAGUAGAUACUAACCACAUAUGGCUAUCACAAUUUAAAUCAGUUAAAAUUAAAUAAUGUUAAAUAUCAGUUCCCUCCUUGGACUAGCCACAUUUGAAGAGCUCAACAGCCACAUGUGAUUGGUAGCUGUCAUAUUGAACAGAACAGAUAUAGAAGAUCUCCAUGAUUACUGAAAGUUCUAUUUGACAGCAAUGUUCUAAGGAUUAAAUAAAAUCUGCAAAAAAAUAAAUAAAUAAAUUCCCACCAUAUAUUAGGUAUUC
This 5036-nucleotide long non-coding RNA is filed under the name Homo sapiens (human). RNAcentral's name for it is "non-protein coding lnc-BOD1L1-8:4". The record is from RNAcentral. Lineage: Eukaryota; Metazoa; Chordata; Mammalia; Primates; Hominidae.